This is a non-coding RNA of Punica granatum (pomegranate), 786 nucleotides long. The record is from RefSeq and is a predicted model, not a curated record. NCBI's taxonomy places the organism in Eukaryota, Viridiplantae, Streptophyta, Magnoliopsida, Myrtales, Lythraceae.
UAUUUUUCCCACCUCUCUUUUCUAUUCUGUUCGACUUGGGGAGGAACGAAGAAGAACAGAGGGUGAGAGAGAGAGAGAGAGAGAGAGAGAGAGAGAGAGAGAGAUAGAAGGAGUGAACAAAGUUGAGAGCUAGGGAAGCUCACGGAGGAGAAAGAGGACUAAUCUUGGAGUUCUUGAUUUGCUAUACUCAUGAUUGAUGGGAGCUGAGGACAUCGAAUGUGCACUCUGAAGGUUAAGUUGGUGAAAUAUUUUUGGGUAGUCGCCAUGGGACCGCUGAUCCAGCUGUAUAUAAAUAGGACGCCUAGACCGCUGAUUCGGCGGGAUAUAAAAAGGGACGCCUAGACCGCUGAUUCGACGGGAUACAAAAAUGGAUGCCUAGACCGCUGAUCCGGCGGGAUAUAAAAAGGGACGCCUAGACCGCUGAUCCGGCGGGAUAUAAAAUGGACGCUUAGACUCCUACUGCCGGAGGAUAAUGGGCAGCCCCCGCUUAUGAGAAAUGAAAUGAGGAAUUUGUGGAUAUGAGUGCGGGGUCACGGUACCGUCACAACUCUGUUGCGAGGAAAUGCAACCCUAUGGCUAUAUUGAUUGGUUUGUGUUGUAUAUUGUUUGGUUGGUAUGAGUAUUGGAGAUGUGUUGUUUGUUGAGAUUAUUGGAGAUGUGAUGAUUGUUGAGAUUGUCUGUAGUUGUUCUAUGAAAACCAUGUUGUUAUUAGAGUUUGAUAUGUCAAUUGAUUGUAUUGUGAGUUGCUAUAGAAUGUUAAUGAAUGGAUGUUUAAUGUUUAUGUGA